Molecule: ribosomal RNA, 593 nt
Filed under: Stachybotrys chartarum
Lineage: Eukaryota; Fungi; Ascomycota; Sordariomycetes; Hypocreales; Stachybotryaceae
Description: eukaryotic LSU rRNA
Rfam family: 5.8S ribosomal RNA (bases 203-356)
Source: RNAcentral
UCCGUAGGAAUACCCGCUGAACUUAAGCAUAUCAAUAAGCGGAGGAGUUUACAACUCCCAAACCCUUAUGUGAACCGUACCUAUCGUUGCUUCGGCGGGAACGCCCCGGCGCCCUGCGCCCGGAUCCAGGCGCCCGCCGGAGACCCCAAACUCUUGUGUUUUUUUCAGUAUUCUCUGAGUGGCAAACGCAAAAAUAAAUCAAAACUUUUAACAACGGAUCUCUUGGCUCUGGCAUCGAUGAAGAACGCAGCGAAAUGCGAUAAGUAAUGUGAAUUGCAGAAUUCAGUGAAUCAUCGAAUCUUUGAACGCACAUUGCGCCCGUUAGCAUUCUAGCGGGCAUGCCUGUCCGAGCGUCAUUUCAACCCUCAGGGUCCCCGUUCCGGCGGGGAACCUGGUGUUGGGGAUCGGCCCGCCCCGUGCGGCGCCGUCCCCCAAAUUCAGUGGCGGUCUCGCUGCAGCCUCCCCUGCGUAGUAGUUACAACCUCGCAUCGGAGCUCAGCGCGGCCACGCCGUAAAACCCCCGACUUUCUGAACGUUGACCUCGGAUCAGGUAGGAAUACCCGCUGAACUUAAGCAUAUCAAUAAGCGGAGGA